This 1343-nucleotide ribosomal RNA is filed under the name uncultured bacterium. Its description in RNAcentral is "16S ribosomal RNA". It matches the Rfam family "Bacterial small subunit ribosomal RNA", at positions 28 to 1378 of the family's 1533-position model. The record is from RNAcentral.
GACGAACGCUGGCGGCGUGCUUAACACAUGCAAGUCGAACGGAAAGGCCCUGCUUUUGUGGGGUGCUCGAGUGGCGAACGGGUGAGUAACACGUGAGUAACCUGCCCUUGACUUUGGGAUAACUUCAGGAAACUGGGGCUAAUACCGGAUAGGAGCUCCUGCUGCAUGGUGGGGGUUGGAAAGUUUCGGCGGUUGGGGAUGGACUCGCGGCUUAUCAGCUUGUUGGUGGGGUAGUGGCUUACCAAGGCUUUGACGGGUAGCCGGCCUGAGAGGGUGACCGGCCACAUUGGGACUGAGAUACGGCCCAGACUCCUACGGGAGGCAGCAGUGGGGAAUAUUGCACAAUGGGCGGAAGCCUGAUGCAGCAACGCCGCGUGCGGGAUGACGGCCUUCGGGAUGUAAACCGCUUUCGCCUGUGACGAAGCGUGAGUGACGGUAAUGGGUAAAGAAGCACCGGCUAACUACGUGCCAGCAGCCGCGGUGAUACGUAGGGUGCGAGCGUUGUCCGGAUUUAUUGGGCGUAAAGGGCUCGUAGGUGGUUGAUCGCGUCGGAAGUGUAAUCUUGGGGCUUAACCCUGAGCGUGCUUUCGAUACGGGUUGACUUGAGGAAGGUAGGGGAGAAUGGAAUUCCUGGUGGAGCGGUGGAAUGCGCAGAUAUCAGGAGGAACACCAGUGGCGAAGGCGGUUCUCUGGGCCUUUCCUGACGCUGAGGAGCGAAAGCGUGGGGAGCGAACAGGCUUAGAUACCCUGGUAGUCCACGCUGUAAACGGUGGGUACUAGGUGUGGGGUCCAUUCCACGGGUUCCGUGCCGUAGCUAACGCUUUAAGUACCCCGCCUGGGGAGUACGGCCGCAAGGCUAAAACUCAAAGGAAUUGACGGGGCCCCGCACAAGCGGCGGAGCAUGCGGAUUAAUUCGAUGCAACGCGUAGAACCUUACCUGGGUUUGACAUGGAUCGGGAGCGCUCAGAGAUGGGUGUGCCUCUUUUGGGGUCGGUUCACAGGUGGUGCAUGGCUGUCGUCAGCUCGUGUCGUGAGAUGUUGGGUUAAGUCCCGCAACGAGCGCAACCCUUGUUCACUGUUGCCAGCACGUUAUGGUGGGGACUCAGUGGAGACCGCCGGGGUCAACUCGGAGGAAGGUGGGGAUGACGUCAAGUCAUCAUGCCCCUUAUGUCCAGGGCUUCACGCAUGCUACAAUGGCUGGUACAGAGAGUGGCGAGCCUGUGAGGGUGAGCGAAUCUCGGAAAGCCGGUCUCAGUUCGGAUUGGGGUCUGCAACUCGACCUCAUGAAGUCGGAGUCGCUAGUAAUCGCAGAUCAGCAACGCUGCGGUGAAUACGUUCCCGGG